CCUGUCUACGGACACAGUGCCC
RNAcentral lists this non-coding RNA (22 nucleotides) under Arabidopsis thaliana (thale cress). The record is from RNAcentral. Lineage: Eukaryota; Viridiplantae; Streptophyta; Magnoliopsida; Brassicales; Brassicaceae.